This 440-nucleotide ribosomal RNA is filed under the name uncultured bacterium. RNAcentral describes it as "bacterial SSU rRNA". It matches the Rfam family "Bacterial small subunit ribosomal RNA", at positions 340 to 774 of the family's 1533-position model. The record is from RNAcentral.
UACGGGAGGCAGCAGUGGGGAAUAUUGCACAAUGGGCGCAAGCCUGAUGCAGCCAUGCCGCGUGUAUGAAAAAGGCCUUCGGGUUGUAAAGUACUUUCAGUCGUGAGGAAGGUGUUAAGGUUAAUAACCUUAGCAAUUGACGUUAGCGACAGAAGAAGCACCGGCUAACUCCGUGCCAGCAGCCGCGGUAAUACGGAGGGUGCGAGCGUUAAUCGGAAUUACUGGGCGUAAAGGGCACGCAGGCGGUUAAUUAAGUUGGAUGUGAAAUCCCCGGGCUUAACCUGGGAAUGGCAUUCAAGACUGGUUAGCUAGAGUCUUGUAGAGGGGGUAGAAUUCCAUGUGUAGCGGUGAAAUGCGUAGAGAUGUGGAGGAAUACCGGUGGCGAAGGCGGCCCCUGGACAAAGGCUGACGCUCAUGUGCGAAAGCGUGGGGAGCGAAAC